ACAGGGAUUGCCCCAGUAACGGCGAGUGAAGCGGCAACAGCUCAAAUUUGAAAUCUGGCCCCUAGGGUCCGAGUUGUAAUUUGUAGAGGAUGCUUUUGGUGAGGUGCCGCCCGAGUUCCCUGGAACGGGACGCCGCAGAGGGUGAGAGCCCCGUCUGGCUGGCCACCGAGCCUCUGUAAAGCUCCUUCGACGAGUCGAGUAGUUUGGGAAUGCUGCUCAAAAUGGGAGGUAUAUGUCUUCUAAAGCUAAAUAUUGGCCAGAGACCGAUAGCGCACAAGUAGAGUGAUCGAAAGAUGAAAAGCACCUUGAAAAGAGGGUUAAACAGUACGUGAAAUUGUUGAAAGGGAAGCGCUUGUGACCAGACUUGGGCGCGGCGGAUCAUCCGGGGUUCUCCCCGGUGCACUUCGCCGUGUUCAGGCCAGCAUCAGUUCGGCGCGGGGGAAAAAGGCUUCGGGAACGUGGCUCCUCCGGGAGUGUUAUAGCCCGUUGCAUAAUACCCUGGCUGGACUGAGGACCGCGCAUCUGCAAGGAUGCUGGCGUAAUGUGCACCAGCGACCCGUCUUGAAACACGGACCA
RNAcentral lists this ribosomal RNA (576 nucleotides) under Trichoderma viride. RNAcentral describes it as "eukaryotic LSU rRNA". It matches the Rfam family "Eukaryotic large subunit ribosomal RNA", at positions 68 to 668 of the family's 3401-position model. The record is from RNAcentral. Lineage: Eukaryota; Fungi; Ascomycota; Sordariomycetes; Hypocreales; Hypocreaceae.